RNAcentral lists this ribosomal RNA (263 nucleotides) under uncultured bacterium. Its description in RNAcentral is "partial 16S ribosomal RNA". It matches the Rfam family "Bacterial small subunit ribosomal RNA", at positions 524 to 776 of the family's 1533-position model. The record is from RNAcentral.
UACGAAAGGCGCAAGCAUUAGGCAUAUGAUUCGGCGUAAAGCGUUUUAAUGCAUUACAAGGCGGUGCAAUGUGAUGGUUUGUCAAAGUUUAGAUUUAACAUUUAAAAACACAUUCUAAAAUACCGUUGCACUAGAGUAAAACAGGGGUUAACAGAACAGUAAAACAUAGAGUGAAAUCUUAGUUUUAUUAGAAUGCCAGCGGCGAAGGCGGUUAUCUGGGUUUUGACUGACGCUGAAGAACGAAGGCAUGGGGAUCAAACCGG